RNAcentral lists this ribosomal RNA (253 nucleotides) under uncultured bacterium. Its description in RNAcentral is "partial 16S ribosomal RNA". It matches the Rfam family "Bacterial small subunit ribosomal RNA", at positions 524 to 776 of the family's 1533-position model. The record is from RNAcentral.
UACGUAGGGUGCAAGCGUUAAUCGGAAUUACUGGGCGUAAAGCGUGCGCAGGCGGCUUUGCAAGACAGAUGUGAAAUCCCCGGGCUCAACCUGGGAACUGCAUUUGUGACUGCAUGGCUAGAGUACGGUAGAGGGGGAUGGAAUUCCGCGUGUAGCAGUGAAAUGCGUAGAUAUGUGGAGGAAUACCGAUGGCGAAGGCAGCCCCCUGGGUCGACACUGACGCUCAUGCACGAAAGCGUGGGGAGCAAACAGG